This 429-nucleotide ribosomal RNA is filed under the name Actinomycetes bacterium. RNAcentral describes it as "Actinobacteria bacterium partial 16S ribosomal RNA". It matches the Rfam family "Bacterial small subunit ribosomal RNA", at positions 355 to 776 of the family's 1533-position model. Lineage: Bacteria; Bacillati; Actinomycetota; Actinomycetes. The record is from RNAcentral.
UAGGGAAUCUUCCGCAAUGGGCGAAAGCCUGACGGAGCAACGCCGCGUGAGUGAUGAAGGCCUUCGGAUCGUAAAACUCUGUUAUUAGGGAAGAACAAAUGUGUAAGUAACUAUGCACGUCUUGACGGUACCUAAUCAGAAAGCCACGGCUAACUACGUGCCAGCAGCCGCGGUAAUACGUAGGUGGCAAGCGUUAUCCGGAAUUAUUGGGCGUAAAGCGCGCGUAGGCGGUUUUUUAAGUCUGAUGUGAAAGCCCACGGCUCAACCGUGGAGGGUCAUUGGAAACUGGAAAACUUGAGUGCAGAAGAGGAAAGUGGAAUUCCAUGUGUAGCGGUGGAAUGCGCAGAGAUAUGGAGGAACACCAGUGGCGAAGGCGACUUUCUGGUCUGUAACUGACGCUGAUGUGCGAAAGCGUGGGGAUCAAACAGG